UUGAAGUGGCUUCUCUCUUCUUUGUCAAGGAUGCUUCACUCUUCAAGGGAGGAUGGAGCUCUUGAUGACUCUUUGAAUCUGCUCAACCCCUUUCUUUGAUUCUUGAAUGAAGCACUUGGAUGAAGAAGAUUAGGGCACUUUUGUUUUCUUGUGUACUCUUUGAUAUUCCUUGCAAAAGUAGUUCUAUCUGAUGAAUAGUGCCACUUUAAAUAGUCUCCUACAUCCAUUGGACAAGCCCCAAUGGUUAGAAUUCAAAAACUAGCCGUUACUGACUUUGGGAAGGACAAAAAGUACAUCUGCAGAACUAGCCGUUAUGCUUCAGCCCGUGUUUGGGUCGGCUCAACCUGUCCUUGGGUCGACCCAACUUUCACUUGGGUCGACUCAAACAUUCCUUGGGUCGACCCUCUCAGAAAACACAGAAACUUGAAUUUCAGCCUUCCUUCCCAUGGGUCGACCCAACCAUUCUUUGGGUCGACUCAAAGUUCACUUGGGUCGACUCAACUUCUACUUG
RNAcentral lists this long non-coding RNA (511 nucleotides) under Phoenix dactylifera (date palm). RNAcentral describes it as "long non-coding RNA (PDAC_LNC019065)". Lineage: Eukaryota; Viridiplantae; Streptophyta; Magnoliopsida; Arecales; Arecaceae. The record is from RNAcentral.